This 253-nucleotide ribosomal RNA is filed under the name uncultured bacterium. Its description in RNAcentral is "partial 16S ribosomal RNA". It matches the Rfam family "Bacterial small subunit ribosomal RNA", at positions 524 to 776 of the family's 1533-position model. The record is from RNAcentral.
UACGUAGGGUGCAAGCGUUGUCCGGAAUUAUUGGGCGUAAAGAGCUCGUAGGCGGUUUGUCGCGUCUGCUGUGAAAACCCGUGGCUCAACUACGGGCUGGCGGUCGAUACGGGCAGGCUGGAGUUCGGUAGGGGAGACUGGAAUUCCUGGUGUAGCGGUGAGAUGCGCAGAUAUCAGGAGGAACACCGGUGGCGAAGGCGGGUCUCUGGGCCGAUACUGACGCUGAGGAGCGAAAGCGUGGGGAGCGAACAGG